This is a transfer RNA of Candidatus Nanopusillus sp., 75 nucleotides long. It matches the Rfam family "tRNA". From Rfam's summary of the family: Transfer RNA (tRNA) molecules are approximately 80 nucleotides in length. Their secondary structure includes four short double-helical elements and three loops (D, anti-codon, and T loops). NCBI's taxonomy places the organism in Archaea, Nanobdellati, Nanobdellota, Candidatus Nanoarchaeia, Nanoarchaeales, Nanopusillaceae. The record is from Rfam.
GCCCCCGUCGUCUAGUCUGGUCUAGGAUAUAGGGUUUUCGUCCCUAUGACCCGGGUUCAAAUCCCGGCGGGGGCA